CUGUUGCACAAAAGUAGAAUUAAGACAUCCGGGAUAAAUGACUAAGCUGAGCUCAAUGAAGCCAAAACAUGUGCGUCCAGGCUUAAUUGGUUGCACAAAGACCAAGCCAGGAUGAGCAGACACGGAUUCAUUAAGCCGGGUGAAACCAAUCCUGGAUAGGUGCGCGCUCACGGCUCACUCAAAUAGACCCCGCCACAGAUCACAGAUUAACUGAUUUACCAUGGCAACUAGAGCCGCGUACUUUUCCCCGUCGGAAGCACAAAUCCUCAUGGAGGCAUACGAGGAGGUAAAAUAUAUAAUUAAGAAGAAAGGCAACACCGCCACAGUGAUAAAGCAAAGAGAAAAAGCGUGGCAAAGUAUUGCAGACCGCCUGAAUGCAUGGUCUGCAAUGCUGACUGUGUGAUCAGCAAUGUUGUGGCAAAAUGGCCUGGCUCAGUCCAUGACUCCAGAAUCUUUCGGGCCUCUGAAAUCUAUCAGUGCCUAUCACAAGGUGAAUUCUCUGGUGUGUUGCUGGGAGACAGGGGGUAUGGCUGCCAGCCUUUUCUCCUGACACCUUUCACAGACCCCAGGAAGCACAGCAGGCCUACAACCAUGCCCAUGCCAGGACCAGGGCCAGAGUUGAAAUGACCUUUGGCCUCCUGAAGGCACGCUUUCACUGCCUUCACAAAUUAAGGGUCAGCCCUGUUAGGGCAUGUGAUAUUACUGUGGCUUGUGCUGUCCUCCACAAUGUGGCCUGCCUGAGGAAGGAGAGGGCCCCCAGAGUGCCACCAGCCAUGGACUGGGACAAUCCGGCAAUCUUCCCUGAUGACGACAGUGGUUGGCUGCUGAGGGACCAAUAUGUGUUGAAUUAUUUUAGUUAGUAUGUGUGCUUUCAAUUUUGGUUAAAUAUGUCCUGCGGUGGCAGAGGAAUUUGGGU
Long non-coding RNA from Oncorhynchus keta (chum salmon), 916 nucleotides. RefSeq lists it as uncharacterized. The transcript is spliced from 3 exons. Lineage: Eukaryota; Metazoa; Chordata; Actinopteri; Salmoniformes; Salmonidae. The record is from RefSeq and is a predicted model, not a curated record.